GGGGGGGGGGGGGGGGGGGGGGGGGGGGGGGGGGGGGGGGGGGGGCGGGGUAGGGUGAGGGGUGGGGGACGGGUGAGUAAUGUAGCGGGGGGUGCGCAGGCGUGGGGGAUAGCGGCGCGAAGGGGCGGCUAAUGGCGCAUACGCCCUGAGGGUGAAAGCGGGGGAUCGCACGACCUCGCGCGCUCGGAACGGCCGAGAUCAGAUUAGGUAGUUGGUGAGGUAAAGGCUCACCAAGCCGACGAUCUGUAGCUGGUCUGAGAGGACGACCAGCCACACUGGGACUGAGACACGGCCCAGACUCCUACGGGAGGCAGCAGUGGGGAAUUUUGGACAAUGGGCGCAAGCCUGAUCCAGCCAUGCCGCGUGCGGGAAGAAGGCCUUCGGGUUGUAAACCGCUUUUGUCAGGGAAGAAAAGGUUCUGGCUAAUACCUGGGACUCAUGACGGUACCUGAAGAAUAAGCACCGGCUAACUACGUG
This 477-nucleotide ribosomal RNA is filed under the name uncultured bacterium. RNAcentral describes it as "partial 16S ribosomal RNA". It matches the Rfam family "Bacterial small subunit ribosomal RNA", at positions 39 to 507 of the family's 1533-position model. The record is from RNAcentral.